GACGAACGCUGGCGGCGUGCCUAAUACAUGCAAGUAGAACGCUUAAGGAGGAGCUUGCUUCUCUGGAUGAGUUGCGAACGGGUGAGUAACGCGUAGGUAACCUGCCUGGUAGCGGGGGAUAACUAUUGGAAACGAUAGCUAAUACCGCAUAACAGUAGAUAUCGCAUGAUAUCUACUUGAAAGGUGCAAUUGCAUCACUACCAGAUGGACCUGCGUUGUAUUAUCUAGUUGGUGAGGUAACGGCUCACCAAGGCGACGAUACAUAGCCGACCUGAGAGGGUGGACGGCCACAAUGGGACUGGGACACGGCCCAGACUUCUACGGGAGGCAGCGGUAGGGAAUCAUCGGCAAUGGACGGAAGUCUGACCGAGCAACGCCGCGUGAGUGAAGAAGGGUUUCGGAUCGUAAAGCUCUGUUGUAAGGGAAGAACGAGUGUGAGAGUGGAAAGUUCACACUGUGACGGUAUCUUACCAGAAAGGGACGGCUAACUACGUG
This 495-nucleotide ribosomal RNA is filed under the name uncultured bacterium. RNAcentral's name for it is "partial 16S ribosomal RNA". It matches the Rfam family "Bacterial small subunit ribosomal RNA", at positions 28 to 507 of the family's 1533-position model. The record is from RNAcentral.